UACGGAGGAUGCGAGCGUUAUCCGGAUUUAUUUGGUUUAAAGGGUGCGCAGGCGGCACGGCAAGCCGGCGGUCAAAUCGCGGGGCUCAACCCCGCCCAGCCGUCGGAACUGCCGGGCUAGAGUGGGCGAGAAGUGCGCGGAAUGCGUGGUGUAGCGGUGAAAUGCAUAGAUAUCACGCAGAACUCCGAUUGCGAAGGCAGCGCACCGGCGCCCUACUGACGCUCAGGCACGAAAGCGUGGGUAUCGAACAGG
This 252-nucleotide ribosomal RNA is filed under the name uncultured bacterium. Its description in RNAcentral is "partial 16S ribosomal RNA". It matches the Rfam family "Bacterial small subunit ribosomal RNA", at positions 524 to 776 of the family's 1533-position model. The record is from RNAcentral.